RNAcentral lists this ribosomal RNA (625 nucleotides) under Stenotrophomonas sp. So3Pw_2878. Its description in RNAcentral is "bacterial SSU rRNA". It matches the Rfam family "Bacterial small subunit ribosomal RNA", at positions 388 to 1004 of the family's 1533-position model. The record is from RNAcentral. Lineage: Bacteria; Pseudomonadati; Pseudomonadota; Gammaproteobacteria; Lysobacterales; Lysobacteraceae.
CCAGCCAUACCGCGUGGGUGAAGAAGGCCUUCGGGUUGUAAAGCCCUUUUGUUGGGAAAGAAAAGCAGUCGGCUAAUACCCGGUUGUUCUGACGGUACCCAAAGAAUAAGCACCGGCUAACUUCGUGCCAGCAGCCGCGGUAAUACGAAGGGUGCAAGCGUUACUCGGAAUUACUGGGCGUAAAGCGUGCGUAGGUGGUUGUUUAAGUCUGUUGUGAAAGCCCUGGGCUCAACCUGGGAAUUGCAGUGGAUACUGGGCGACUAGAGUGUGGUAGAGGGUAAUGGAAUUCCCGGUGUAGCAGUGAAAUGCGUAGAGAUCGGGAGGAACAUCCAUGGCGAAGGCAGCUACCUGGACCAACACUGACACUGAGGCACGAAAGCGUGGGGAGCAAACAGGAUUAGAUACCCUGGUAGUCCACGCCCUAAACGAUGCGAACUGGAUGUUGGGUGCAAUUUGGCACGCAAUAUCGAAUCUAACGCGUUAAGUUCGCCGCCUGGGGAGUACGGUCGCAAGACUGAAACUCAAAGGAAUUGACGGGGGCCCGCACAAGCGGUGGAAUAUGUGGUUUAAUUCUAUGCAACGCGAAGAACCUUACCUGGUCUUGACAUGUCGAGAACUUUCCAGA